ACUCCGCCAGGAGUACCAGUGAGAAGUAUGUCACCAGGGAGGAGAGUCAUUACCCUGGAAAAUGGCAGUUUUUAAAUAAAACAUAUAGUACGCCGUUCACGCUGCACUUGAUGUCCAGGUUCUGAGGAUCGCCUAUUUCGUCGCUAGUUACGAUGCAAGGACCAAUCGGGCAGAAAGUAUCCAUCGACUGAAAGCAAUAAAUUAUAAUUAAUACUUCUGCGUUUAUAUUCUUUUUCAUUAAACGAUAUAUUACAUAA
Achroia grisella is the source of this 257-nucleotide long non-coding RNA. RefSeq lists it as uncharacterized. The record is from RefSeq and is a predicted model, not a curated record. Lineage: Eukaryota; Metazoa; Arthropoda; Insecta; Lepidoptera; Pyralidae. The transcript is spliced from 2 exons.